RNAcentral lists this unclassified non-coding RNA (429 nucleotides) under Hevea brasiliensis (rubber tree). Lineage: Eukaryota; Viridiplantae; Streptophyta; Magnoliopsida; Malpighiales; Euphorbiaceae. The record is from RNAcentral.
AACAAGAACAAAUCCCUUAAUUCUGCUGUUAAUGUUGGUGGAGGAGUAUCCAUUGGCUGCAGCAGUAACUCAGUCCAGAAUAAUAACCCUUCAUCGUCGUCUUCUUCAUCAGGACCAUUAUCGUUAUCAUCGAGCUGUGUGGCGGUUCCUGACGUUUGGUGUGGUCCUGGAAUUGGAUUAACUACUGAUGCUGCUUCUGUUGAUUGCGUCGUUUCAAGAAGACCCGUGUCUGGGAGGGGAAGAAUCGAAAGUGACAAAGCUACGCCUAGAGAGAGAUCUGCAUGUCCUAUACGAAGAAUGGUGAGCCCAGAAGACAACCCUUUUCUGGAUAUAGAAAGUAGCCUAGGUAUACCACGCUCCCAAAUAGAGUUAUUUGCAUCUAGGCAUCAUCGACAUUCUCGCCAUGGUUAUUCAGAAGGACUUGCAGAG